ACGUAGGGUGCAAGCGUUAAUCGGAAUUACUGGGCGUAAAGCGUGCGCAGGCGGUGAUGUAAGACAGGUGUGAAAUCCCCGGGCUUAACCUGGGAACUGCACUUGUGACUGCAUCGCUGGAGUGCGGCAGAGGGGGAUGGAAUUCCGCGUGUAGCAGUGAAAUGCGUAGAUAUGCGGAGGAACACCGAUGGCGAAGGCAAUCCCCUGGGCCUGCACUGACGCUCAUGCACGAAAGCGUGGGGAGCAAACAGGAUUAGAUACCCUGGUAGUCCACGCCCUAAACGAUGUCAACUGGUUGUUGGGUCUUCACUGACUCAGUAACGAAGCUAACGCGUGAAGUUGACCGCCUGGGGAGUACGGCCGCAAGGUUG
Molecule: ribosomal RNA, 371 nt
Filed under: uncultured bacterium
Lineage: Bacteria
Description: bacterial SSU rRNA
Rfam family: Bacterial small subunit ribosomal RNA
Source: RNAcentral